UUUGAUGGAACCGAGCCAGAGCGGCCGCUCGGCGGGGCGAGCCUGGCCAUAGGUGGCGAGGAGGGCACGGGCUUC
Molecule: antisense RNA, 75 nt
Filed under: Chondromyces crocatus
Lineage: Bacteria; Pseudomonadati; Myxococcota; Polyangiales; Polyangiaceae
Description: ASpks TB sRNA
Rfam family: ASpks TB sRNA
Source: Rfam by way of RNAcentral